Non-coding RNA from Edwardsiella ictaluri 93-146, 342 nucleotides. NCBI's taxonomy places the organism in Bacteria, Pseudomonadati, Pseudomonadota, Gammaproteobacteria, Enterobacterales, Hafniaceae. The record is from Rfam.
UUUUCUGCACUUUUUUCCAUCAAAGCGAAAAAAGAGGUGGGAUUCAACGUUUACCUGAUAGCGCAGAAAUGCAGCAAUGGCGUAAGACGUAGUGCGAAAUCAAGUAAUUAGCGGGCUGCGGGUCGCAGUCUGACCAACAACAUGGAAUCAGUUGGCCGCAUCCUUUUUCUGCAGUGCCAUCCUGAUAAACAGCGCUGUCUUUCACAAAGAAAUGCAGGCUUACCGAAUAUUGCGCCCCUAUGCAGGCGACAACCGUGAGGUUGACGACUUUGCGAUAAGACUCGGGGUCAUCGGUCUUCCUCCCGGUCAGAAAGGUCUUUUCGCCCGCAGCUUAAGUUGCCA